This 409-nucleotide unclassified non-coding RNA is filed under the name fungal sp. Its description in RNAcentral is "partial internal transcribed spacer region". The stretch from base 1 to 46 matches the Rfam family "Eukaryotic small subunit ribosomal RNA", at positions 1786 to 1831 of the family's 1831-position model. The record is from RNAcentral. Lineage: Eukaryota; Fungi.
AAGUCGUAACAAGGUUUCCGUAGGUGAACCUGCGGAAGGAUCAUUACAUGAAAUUGUUUUAUAUACCUUUUUAUAAACAAAAGCUAUAUACAAACUCUUUUUUACACCAAAACUGUGCUCUUUCUUUUUUUUCCCAUCCCACUCACAAAAAACCGAACCUAUUGGUUCUGUGUUUUUUUCAUUUUUUUAAUAUUUAAUAUUUGGACUGAACUAAGUGUUUUCAUAUGUCUUCCUUUUGGAAGGUUGUGGAAAUCCUGGGAUACCAUAUGUGUAUGUGUAUGUAUGUGUCUAAACAAAUCUUUUUGUAAUGAAAAGAAUUGUUAGACAGGUACGUAUAAGUAUAUGCAUGUAUGGUGCCCUAGUAAGAAACCUAGUUAAACAACUCCUACCAAUGGAUAUCUAGGCUCUC